This is a long non-coding RNA of Piliocolobus tephrosceles (Ugandan red Colobus), 374 nucleotides long. RefSeq lists it as uncharacterized. Lineage: Eukaryota; Metazoa; Chordata; Mammalia; Primates; Cercopithecidae. The transcript is spliced from 3 exons. The record is from RefSeq and is a predicted model, not a curated record.
AUGAUUUGGAUGAAACAAGAGAACGAGACUGACUGUUGCUGAGUCCCUGCUGCAGUCCUGACACAGCUGGAGACACCCUGCUCUCCAGCUCUCCUUAUUUUGUUGAUGCUUUUGAGGACCAUGUUGUCUGAGGAAGACGGUUCCCAUCCAACUCUGCCCCUGGUGUGUCACGUGCUGGCCUUGUCAACAUACAUGAGAACCUGACAGGGACCCACCCGAGGAGAGGCCAUGGCUUGGAGCACCUGGUAGUGUGUCCACAGUGAAGACCAGAGUUUCGUUGUCCUCAAGACUGACCUGGGGGGACGUGGCUGCGGGCCAGUGAGGAAGCAAAGAAGGAAGCUCCUGCCCCUCCUAAGGCCAAAGCCAAAGCAAAG